RNAcentral lists this ribosomal RNA (468 nucleotides) under uncultured bacterium. RNAcentral describes it as "partial 16S ribosomal RNA". It matches the Rfam family "Bacterial small subunit ribosomal RNA", at positions 28 to 507 of the family's 1533-position model. The record is from RNAcentral.
GACGAACGCUGGCGGCGUGCUUAACACAUGCAAGUCGAACGGAAAGGCCCUGCUUUUGUGGGGUGCUCGAGUGGCGAACGGGUGAGUAACACGUGAGUAACCUGCCCUUGACUUUGGGAUAACUUCAGGAAACUGGGGCUAAUACCGGAUAGGAGCUCCUGCUGCAUGGUGGGGGUUGGAAAGUUUCGGCGGUUGGGGAUGGACUCGCGGCUUAUCAGCUUGUUGGUGGGGUAGUGGCUUACCAAGGCUUUGACGGGUAGCCGGCCUGAGAGGGUGACCGGCCACAUUGGGACUGAGAUACGGCCCAGACUCCUACGGGGGGCAGCAGUGGGGAAUAUUGCACAAUGGGCGGGCGCCUGAUGCAGCAACGCCGCGUGCGGGAUGACGGCCUUCGGGUUGUAAACCGCUUUCGCCUGUGACGAAGCGUGAGUGACGGUAAUGGGUAAAGAAGCACCGGCUAACUACGUG